UACGAAGGGAGCUAGCGUUGUUCGGAAUCACUGGGCGUAAAGCGCACGUAGGCGGAUGUGUCAGUCAGGGGUGAAAUCCCGGAGCUCAACUUCGGAACUGCCUUUGAUACAGCACGUCUUGAGUCCGAUAGAGGUGGGUGGAAUUCCUAGUGUAGAGGUGAAAUUCGUAGAUAUUAGGAGGAACACCUGUGGCGAAGGCGGGUCUCUGGACAGUUCCUGACGCUGAGGCACGAAGGUCAGGGGAGCAAACGGG
This 253-nucleotide ribosomal RNA is filed under the name uncultured bacterium. RNAcentral's name for it is "partial 16S ribosomal RNA". It matches the Rfam family "Bacterial small subunit ribosomal RNA", at positions 524 to 776 of the family's 1533-position model. The record is from RNAcentral.